AUUGAACGCUGGCGGCGUGCCUAACACAUGCAAGUCGAGCGGCAGCGCGGGAGCAAUCCUGGCGGCGAGCGGCGAACGGGUGAGUAAUGCUUCGGAAUCUGCCCAUGUAGCGGGGAAUAACCAGCCGAAAGGUUGACUAAUACCGCAUACGACCCUUUUCCGGUAAGGAAAUGGGUGAAAGCAGGGGAGUCGCAAGACCUUGCGCUAUUGGAUGAGCCGAAGUCGGAUAGCUUGUUGGUAGGGUAACGGCCUACCAAGGCGACGAUCCGUAGCUGGUCUGAGAGGACGACCAGCCACACUGGGACUGAGACACGGCCCAGACUCCUACGGGAGGCAGCAGUGGGGAAUAUUGGACAAUGGGCGCAAGCCUGAUCCAGCGAUGCCGCGUGUGUGAAGAAGGCCCUGCGGGUUGUAAAGCACUUUCAGUAGGGAAGAAAGCCGAGUGCUAAUAUCAUUCGGUCUUGACGUUACUUACAGAAGAAGCACCGGCUAACUCC
This 497-nucleotide ribosomal RNA is filed under the name uncultured bacterium. RNAcentral describes it as "bacterial SSU rRNA". It matches the Rfam family "Bacterial small subunit ribosomal RNA", at positions 30 to 504 of the family's 1533-position model. The record is from RNAcentral.